GACGAACGCUGGCGGCGUGCUUAACACAUGCAAGUCGAACGGUGAAGCGCCUUCCUUUUUGGUGGGUGUGGAUGAGUGGCGAACUGGUGAGUAACACGUGAGUAACCUGCCCCCUUCUUCUGGAUAACCGCAUGAAAGUGUGGCUAAUACGGGAUAUUCUGGGUCUGUCGCAUGAUGGGUCUGGGAAAGAUAUUGUUUCGGUGGGGGAUGGGCUCGCGGCCUAUCAGCUUGUUGGUGGGGUGAUGGCCUACCAAGGCGGUGACGGGUAGCCGGCCUGAGAGGGUGGACGGUCACAAUGGGAAGGAGACACGGCGCAGACUCCUACGGGAGGCAGCAGUGGGGAAUAGUGCACAAUGGGCGCAAGCCUGAUGCAGCGACGCCGCGUGAGGGAUGGAGGCCUUCGGGUUGUGAACCUCUUUCGCCAGUGAAGCAGGCCUGCCUCGUUUGUGGGUGGGUUGACGGUAGCUGGAUAAGAAGCGCCGGCUAACUACGUG
RNAcentral lists this ribosomal RNA (494 nucleotides) under uncultured bacterium. RNAcentral's name for it is "partial 16S ribosomal RNA". It matches the Rfam family "Bacterial small subunit ribosomal RNA", at positions 28 to 507 of the family's 1533-position model. The record is from RNAcentral.